AGAGGGCACAAAAGCAUUCGUUCUAAGAGUGUUGGAAUGAAGCACUGCUGCGCAACAUUCUAGCCGAUGUUCCAGUUACCUUGGAGAUCCAGAAUAGGUCCGAGCUGCUUUUGGCAGCAAUAAUGUUUUGGUACCACUGGCUGGUUAGGAGUCAAAAACCAGCUGUCCUAGGCAAUCAGGUCAACCAAGUGAAUCAAGCACUGAGGAUGAAACUAGACAACGACAGAGAGAGCGUGCAAAGAAAUUUUCAAAGAAAGACGACCUUUUCUAUAACCGAUGUGGAACCAAAGAUGCUUACCAGGCCCCUCUCUCAGAUUCUGAUUCAGAGUAGUAGAUAUCGCUUAACAAAAUGGAUAGCGCCGGAGAUUCUCGAAAUGAGAUAAAAGUCGAAGGCCAUAGUUGUAAUUGGAAGUAACAAACAGUUGCUGUUGAUAAAAUCAUUUCCAGAUGAUAUAGGAAAAGAUUAGACUAUUACGGAACAAUUAUGUAUUAUUUAAGCUGCAAUAUCUAGAAUCUAGAUGUUAUCUUGAUAGCACCCUGGCAAUCUAGUUAUAUAGGCUAGAAACUAGAUAUAGAAGGCUUCCUAUUCAAUUAGGUUUGGAAUUUUUUUUUUUUUUUUUUUUUUUUUUUUUUUUUU
Molecule: long non-coding RNA, 637 nt
Organism: Pistacia vera
Lineage: Eukaryota; Viridiplantae; Streptophyta; Magnoliopsida; Sapindales; Anacardiaceae
Exons: 2
Source: RefSeq, a predicted model, not a curated record